This 319-nucleotide ribosomal RNA is filed under the name uncultured eukaryote. Its description in RNAcentral is "partial 18S ribosomal RNA". It matches the Rfam family "Eukaryotic small subunit ribosomal RNA", at positions 1470 to 1796 of the family's 1831-position model. The record is from RNAcentral.
CCCUUAGAUGUCCUGGGCCGCACGCGUGCUACACUGACGCCUACAGCGAGCACUUUCCAGCCCCGAGAGGCGGCUGGUAAUCAGCAAUAGGCGUCGUGAUGGGGAUAGAUCUUUGGAAUUAUGGAUCUUGAACGAGGAAUGCCUAGUAAGCGCAGGUCAUUAGCCUGCGCUGAUUAAGUCCCUGCCCUUUGUACACACCGCCCGUCGCUCCUACCGAUUUCGAGUGGCCCGGCGAAUCUUUCGGACUGCGCGCGGCCUUGAGUCGUGUCGCGGAAAGUCAGGUAAACCUUAUCACUUAGAGGAAGGAGAAGUCGUAACA